RNAcentral lists this ribosomal RNA (585 nucleotides) under uncultured bacterium. RNAcentral's name for it is "partial 16S ribosomal RNA". It matches the Rfam family "Bacterial small subunit ribosomal RNA", at positions 355 to 1375 of the family's 1533-position model. The record is from RNAcentral.
UGGGGAAUUUUGGACAAUGGGCGAAAGCCUGAUCCAGCAAUGCCGCGUGUGUGAAGAAGGCCUUCGGGUUGUAAAGCACUUUUGUCCGGAAAGAAAUCCUCUGGGUUAAUACCUCGGGGGGAUGACGGUACCGGAAGAAUAAGCACCGGCUAACUACGUGCCAGCAGCCGCGGUAAUACGUAGGGUGCAAGCGUUAGUCGGAAUUACUGGGCGUAAAGCGUGCGCAGGCGGUUUUGUAAGACGGAUGUGAAAUCCCCGGGCUUAACCUGGGAACUGCAUUCGUGACUGCAAGGCUAGAGUAUGGCAGAGGGGGGUAGAAUUCCACGUGUAGCAGUGAAAUGCGUAGAGAUGUGGAGGAAUACCGAUGGCGAAGGCAGCCCCCUGGGCCAAUACUGACGCUCAUGCACGAAAGCGUGGGGAGCAAACAGGAUUAGAUACCCUGGUAGUCCACGCCCUAAACGAUGUCAACUAGUUGUUGGGGAUUCAUUUCCUUAGUAACGUAGCUAACGCGUGAAGUUGACCGCCUGGGGAGUACGGUCGCAAGAUUAAAACUUAAAUGAAUUGACGGGGUCAUAGCUGUUUCCU